Non-coding RNA from Methylocystis bryophila, 135 nucleotides. The record is from Rfam. NCBI's taxonomy places the organism in Bacteria, Pseudomonadati, Pseudomonadota, Alphaproteobacteria, Hyphomicrobiales, Methylocystaceae.
CCAGUCCGGCCCAAGUAAGCCGCAGCUGGCGCUCGAUAGCGAGUGUUGCGUGGUCGUCGGCGACCGCCGCGCAGCGUACACUGCAAUCGCGUAGGGCGCGACAUUGAGCCUCGAAAUUCCCGACAUCACAGAGAU